UGGGGAAUCUUCCGCAAUGGACGAAAGUCUGACGGAGCAACGCCGCGUGUAUGAUGAAGGUCUUCGGAUUGUAAAGUACUGUCAUUGGGGAAGAACGGUUUUCUUGAAAAGAUUGAGAAGACAUGACGGUACCCAAGGAGGAAGCCCCGGCUAACUACGUGCCAGCAGCCGCGGUAAUACGUAGGGGGCAAGCGUUGUCCGGAAUUAUUGGGCGUAAAGGGCGCGUAGGCGGGCCUUUAAGUCCGGUGUGAAAGAUCAGGGCUCAACCCUGAGAGUGCAUCGGAAACUGGAGGCCUUGAGGACAGGGAGAGGAAAGUGGAAUUCCACGUGUAGCGGUGAAAUGCGUAGAUAUGUGGAGGAACACCAGUGGCGAAGGCGACUUUCUGGACUGUAACUGACGCUGAGGCGCGAAAGCGUGGGGGAGCAAACAGGAUUAGAUACCCUGGUAGUCCACGCCGUAAACGAUGAGUGCUAGGUGUAGAGGGUAUCGACCCCUUCUGUGCCGCAGUUAACACAAUAAGCACUCCCGCCUGGGGAGUACGGCCGCAAGGUUGAAACUUAAAGGAAUUGACGGGGUCAUAGCUGUUUCC
RNAcentral lists this ribosomal RNA (590 nucleotides) under uncultured bacterium. RNAcentral describes it as "partial 16S ribosomal RNA". It matches the Rfam family "Bacterial small subunit ribosomal RNA", at positions 355 to 937 of the family's 1533-position model. The record is from RNAcentral.